RNAcentral lists this ribosomal RNA (860 nucleotides) under uncultured Acidobacteriota bacterium. RNAcentral's name for it is "bacterial SSU rRNA". It matches the Rfam family "Bacterial small subunit ribosomal RNA", at positions 8 to 844 of the family's 1533-position model. Lineage: Bacteria; Pseudomonadati; Acidobacteriota. The record is from RNAcentral.
AGGGUUUGAUCAUGGCUCAGAAUCAACGCUGGCGGCGUGCCUCAGACAUGCAAGUCGAACGCGAAAGUUUCCUUCGGGGAACGAGUAGAGUGGCGCACGGGUGAGUAACACGUAGGUAAUCUACCUUUGGAUGGGGAAUAACAACCGGAAACGGUUGCUAAUACCGCAUAAUGCAGCGGCACCUAAUGGUGACAGUUGUUAAAGCGGGGGAUCGAAAGACCUCGCGUCUGAAGAGGAGCCUGCGGCGGAUUAGCUAGUUGGUAAGGUAACGGCUUACCAAGGCGAUGAUCCGUAGCCGGCCUGAGAGGGCGGUCGGCCACACUGACACUGACAUACGGGUCAGACUCCUACGGGAGGCAGCAGUCGGGAAUUUUGGGCAAUGGGCGAAAGCCUGACCCAGCAACGCCGCGUGAAGGAUGAAAUCCUUCGGGAUGUAAACUUCGCAAGAACGGGAAGAAUAAGUAAGGGUUAAUAUCUCUUACGAUGACGGUACUGUUUGUAAGCUCCGGCUAACUCCGUGCCAGCAGCCGCGGUAAUACGGGGGGAGCAAGCGUUGUUCGGAUUUACUGGGCGUAAAGGGCGCGUAGGCGGCCACCGCAAGUCGGUUGUGAAAUCUCUGGGCUUAACCCAGAAAGGUCAACCGAUACUGCGGGGCUAGAGUGCAGAAGGGGCAACUGGAAUUCUCGGUGUAGCGGUGAAAUGCGUAGAUAUCGAGAGGAACACCUGCGGCGAAGGCGGGUUGCUGGGCUGACACUGACGCUGAUGCGCGAAAGCUAGGGGAGCGAACGGGAUUAGAUACCCCGGUAGUCCUAGCCUUAAACGAUGAAUGCUUGGUGUCUGGGGUUUUAUAGUCCCCGGGU